Molecule: ribosomal RNA, 235 nt
Filed under: uncultured bacterium
Lineage: Bacteria
Description: partial 16S ribosomal RNA
Rfam family: Bacterial small subunit ribosomal RNA
Source: RNAcentral
CGGACGGGUGAGUAACGCGUGGGUAACCUGCCUCAUACAGGGGGAUAACGGUUAGAAAUGACUGCUAAUACCGCAUAAGCGCACAGUACCGCAUGGUACGGUGUGAAAAACUCCGGUGGUAUGAGAUGGACCCGCGUCUGAUUAGCUGGUUGGUGAGGUAACGGCCCACCAAGGCGACGAUCAGUAGCCGGACUGAGAGGUUGACCGGCCACAUUGGGACUGAGAUACGGCCCAG